This 556-nucleotide ribosomal RNA is filed under the name uncultured bacterium. RNAcentral describes it as "partial 16S ribosomal RNA". It matches the Rfam family "Bacterial small subunit ribosomal RNA", at positions 356 to 900 of the family's 1533-position model. The record is from RNAcentral.
GGGGAAUAUUGCACAAUGGGCGCAAGCCUGAUGCAGCCAUGCCGCGUGUGUGAAGAAGGCCUUCGGGUUGUAAAGCACUUUCAGCGAGGAGGAAGGGUAGUGUGUUAAUAGCACAUUGCAUUGACGUUACUCGCAGAAGAAGCACCGGCUAACUCCGUGCCAGCAGCCGCGGUAAUACGGAGGGUGCAAGCGUUAAUCGGAAUUACUGGGCGUAAAGCGCACGCAGGCGGUUUGUUAAGUCAGAUGUGAAAUCCCCGCGCUUAACGUGGGAACUGCAUUUGAAACUGGCAAGCUAGAGUCUUGUAGAGGGGGGUGAGAAUUCCAGGUGUAGCGGUGAAAUGCGUAGAGAUCUGGAGGAAUACCGGUGGCGAAGGCGGCCCCCCUGGACAAAGACUGACGCUCAGGUGCGAAAGCGUGGGGAGCAAAACAGGAUUAGAUACCCUGGUAGUCCACGCUGUAAACGAUGUCGACUUGGAGGUUGUGCCCUUGAGGCGUGGCUUCCGGAGCUAACGCGUUAAGUCGACCGCCUGGGGGAGUACGGCCGCAAGGUUAAAAC